GAUGAACGCUGGCGGCGUGCCUAAUACAUGCAGGUCGAGCGAACGGACGAGAAGCUUGCUUCUCUGAUGUUAGCGGCGGACGGGUGAGUAACACGUGGAUAACCUACCUAUAAGACUGGGAUAACUUCGGGAAACCGGAGCUAAUACCGGAUAAUAUUUUGAACCGCAUGGUUCAAAAGUGAAAGACGGUCUUGCUGUCACUUAUAGAUGGAUCCGCGCUGCAUUAGCUAGUUGGUAAGGUAACGGCUUACCAAGGCAACGAUGCAUAGCCGACCUGAGAGGGUGAUCGGCCACACUGGAACUGAGACACGGUCCAGACUCCUACGGGAGGCAGCAGCAGGGAAUCUUCCGCAAUGGGCGAAAGCCUGACGGAGCAACGCCGCGUGAGUGAUGAAGGUCUUCGGAUCGUAAAACUCUGUUAUUAGGGAAGAACAUAUGUGUAAGUAACUGUGCACAUCUUGACGGUACCUAAUCAGAAAACCACGGCUAACUACGU
This 496-nucleotide ribosomal RNA is filed under the name uncultured bacterium. Its description in RNAcentral is "partial 16S ribosomal RNA". It matches the Rfam family "Bacterial small subunit ribosomal RNA", at positions 28 to 506 of the family's 1533-position model. The record is from RNAcentral.